This 3018-nucleotide long non-coding RNA is filed under the name Equus caballus (horse). RNAcentral's name for it is "lncRNA (ENSECAG00000057114.1)". Lineage: Eukaryota; Metazoa; Chordata; Mammalia; Perissodactyla; Equidae. The record is from RNAcentral.
GACCGUGCAGCUCAGACCAGGGCAGGGCAGAAGGAAAAGCAGCAGGCCACCCAGGAGGGGGGUCAGGGUGGGAGAGGCGCAGGAGUGGCUCCUGGGGUAAGCCACAAGCCCGGUCUUUGGCUCUCCCAGUGAGGAAUUUCCUCCCCUGCACCGCUGCCCAGCCCCUCUCCCCACCCCCCAACUCCCACCCGCCGAAACCAACACACAGUCCUGGAGCUAGGGGCACCUCCUGGGAUCCCUGAAAUGAGGGGCUCUGCCACCCGACCCAGUGCUGCCGGGCCUUGGAGGAGGGGGUCGAGGGCAAGCCCCACUCACGGACAGGCAGGAACGGCUCGGCAGGGCCCUGCCCAAGACAAGGGAGUAGGGAGGGAGAAGACCUCAGUCCCAGACAGUGGCCCCCACUGAGGUCUGGAAGGAGGGGAGCGCCUGGGAAUCCUACUUCCUUUUGGGGUCUGGUGGGGCCCCAGUUCCCUGGCCUCGGCCUCGGGCGACUUCCCAAGAGACCAGGAUAUUGUGCUUUGGCAUCCACCCUGGGGCCAGGUCAGGACGCGGGGGCGGGAGAGAGGAGACUAAGGUGCUUGUGCUUUAGCUGGAGAUGUUGACUCCGUCACACACGCGGGUCGGGCCGCUAGGGGCCGAAGGGCCAGGGCCGGGCAGCCCAGCGGAGCGCCAGGACCCCAGCCCGACCCGACACCCCAGCCCCGCAACAAGCAGGUGCCAGAAGGCACCCAGCCCUGCAGGCUGGCAGGGCUGCUGGUCGGAGGGAGGCCUCUCCGUCAGGUUCCAAGGGUCCAGAGCGGGCGGGCCCCCACCCCGCAACCCCCUGUCUCUGGAGAGAGAGCCCGCUGGGCUCCAACGGCCAGUCAGCCAGGGAGGAGACGAGAGGCGAGACUUUCAGUCUGCCCCCAAGAGCCCCCUCACUCAGGACUGCCCCUCGCAGGCCCAAGGGGACUGACGGCGGCAAUGGAGGCUGCGCCCGGGGAGGGAGGGAGAAGGGUACCAGGCCGCCACCGAAGGGGAUUUGUGGAAUUUCUGGACCCGCUUCUUCGCUGUAAAACGAAACUGUGAAUGCCAGAGGACAUUGUGAUGACAGCUUUAAAGUGCUGAAACAAAAAUCUCCAACUUAGAAUUCUGCAUUUCUCAAGAACAGCCUUCAAAAGAUGAAGAUGAAAGAUGUGUUCAGACGAACAAAAACUGAGGGAGUUCAUCAGCUGCGCACCAGCACUGUGAGAAGCACUAGGGGAGGCUCUUCAGACUGGAGGAAAAUUAUCCCAGCUAGAAGCACAGAACCACAGGAAGAAAUGAAGGUAUGAAGGCCUUCUUGAAGAUCCUCUGUAGGGGAGGUCUUGUGGCUACAAACUCCCUUAGCUUUGGCUUAUCUGGGAAAGUUGUUAUUUCUCCAUCAUAUCUGAAGUCUAUUUUCACUGAAUAGAGUAUUCUUGGCUGAAAGAUUUUGUCCUUCAAAGAUUUGAAUAUGUCAUUCCAGUCUUUCCUAGCCUGUAAGUUUUCUGCAGAGAAAUCUGGUGAAAGUCUGAUAGAGGUUUCUUUGUAGGUUAUGUUCUUCUGCCUUGCUGCCCUUAGUAUUUUUUCUUUGUCAUUGACUUUUGCCAGUUUCACUACUAUAUGCCUUGCAGUAGGUCUUUUUACACUGGCAUAUUUAGAAGAUCUGAUAGGCUCUUUCAUGUGGAUUUCCAUCUCCUUCCCCAGGUUUGGGAAGUUCUCUGCUAUUAUUACUUUGAACAAGCUUUCUGUUCCAUUCUCCUUCUUUUCUCUCUCUUGAAUAUCUAUAAUUCUUAUGUUGCAUUUCCUAAUUGAGUUGGAUAUUUCUCAGAGAUUUUCUUCAUUUCUUUUUAGUCUUAGUUCUCUCUACUCCUCUGUCUGGAGCAUUUCAAUAUGUCUAUCCUUGAUUAUGCUGAUUCACUCCACUAUGAUGUUGCUCAAACAUUCAGAGAAUCCAAAUUUUGUUUUAUCUCAUCGAUUGUGUCUUUCAUCUCUAAUAUUUCUGAUUGGUUCUUCUUUAUAGUUUCAAUCUCUUUUGUGAAGUAGCUCCUGAACUCGUUGAAUUGUUUCUCUACAUUUUUUUGUAACUCAUUGAGUUUUUUGAUGAUAGCUAUUUUGAAGUCUCUGUCAUUUAGAUUACAUAUUUCUGUGUCUUCAGGACUGAUUUCUGGGUACUUGUCAUUUUCUCUCUGGUCUGGAGAUGUAAUAUAAUUUUUGAUUCUGCUAGAGGGCGUGGCAUUGUUCUUUCACAUCAUGGUAUUAUUUGGUCACACUUACUGCUUACCACUGGGUGGGGGUCAAGAACUGCAUUUUCUGAGCCCUCUGACUUCUGCCAGGAUCCCAGGUGCUGGAGCUGGUGCUAGGUGGGGAGGGGGAGGGGUGCUUUCUUCAUUGUUCUCUUGGGGUUUUCUCACUCUGCCCUCGAUAUCUGCUCUCCUGGGGUAUUGGCUUGAUGAAGUCACCCCUGUGAUAGCUUUCACCUGGGUAGGGAGCUUUCCCCUAGGCUGCAAAGGACCUUGGGGAACUUUGAUGUUCCUGCAAAUGGGCAUCCCCUCCCCUUUUCCUUCCCUCUUGGAGACUGCACAGUCCCAGAUCACAGUCUUUUGGGGAGGGAGCGAAGUUUUCUCUUACCCCAUUCCACCUCCUCCAAGGGGGACUCCAGCCUCUCCACCCUCCCAUGUAUGAUUGUGUUGGUCUUUUGUGUUGUGUGGAUGUCCUCUGCUGGAGGAUAAAUGUCUUUUUCACUGUGUCAUGGAGGGAAGAGAUCACUGGGAGAGCUCACUUAACCAUGAUGCUGAUGUCACUCUCUGGGUAAAAUUUUUAAAGUAAUGUUCUGUAAAGUCUGUAACACAUAUAGAAGUAACUGUGUAUGAAUACAACCCAAAAAAUCUAAUGGUACUGCCUAAAUAUUUUUCAUUUGUCUUAUUAAUAAAUGUUAAUACAAAUUUGGGAAGAUUUUAUUAUUUCAAAUAACUGAAAGUAUUUAAUAAUGUUAAUUUCAUAUUUUCUUCAUUGUUG